AGUUUCUGUCGGACCGGUUGCA
Molecule: microRNA, 22 nt
Filed under: Melibe leonina
Lineage: Eukaryota; Metazoa; Mollusca; Gastropoda; Nudibranchia; Dendronotidae
Description: mle-miR-1984-3p
Source: miRBase by way of RNAcentral